Molecule: transfer RNA, 72 nt
Filed under: Ovis aries (sheep)
Lineage: Eukaryota; Metazoa; Chordata; Mammalia; Artiodactyla; Bovidae
Rfam family: tRNA
About the family: Transfer RNA (tRNA) molecules are approximately 80 nucleotides in length.
Source: Rfam by way of RNAcentral
UCCCAGGUAGCUUAGUGAUAAAGAACCCGCCUGCCAGUGCGGGAGACACGGGUUCAAACCCGGAUCUGGGAA